Molecule: long non-coding RNA, 4319 nt
Organism: Zeugodacus cucurbitae (melon fly)
Lineage: Eukaryota; Metazoa; Arthropoda; Insecta; Diptera; Tephritidae
Exons: 10
Source: RefSeq, a predicted model, not a curated record
GAUUUUUUUAAAAUAAUUUUGAUUAUUUUUUUAAAAUAAUUUUGAUUAUUUUUUAUAAUUUUUUUUAUACUGUUAUUUGUAUUUUCAGGUUUCACCUUUCACCUUUCAUAUUGUAUAUUUUUUUCAAAACUGUUCUUUUUUAUUUUCAAACAAAAUCCUUUGCACUUCUUAUUUGUAUUUAUUCUUCCUGCUUGCUUUCCAUUUUACCGGAAACAUUUUAAAUAUUUUUUUAACAUAUUCGCAAGAAAAUAUGUUGCUUCAAACAAAAAAGUAAUAAUAAUUGCACACAGUGCAUGAGUUAUCAUCUGCAGUCUUCCCAAGUUUGCUUUCUUAUUUUACAUUUUACAAAUAUUUACCUUUUCAAAUAUUUUUUCGACUAAUUUUUUAGUCUAAAAUACUUAUUUAUUUAAUAUACACAUAUACAUUUUGUGAAUUUUACAAAUUUCUCCUUUCUUCAAAGACUUCUUUUUCAAGUCUCUCAAGUAUAAAAAAUUUAAUUUUUUUAUUAUAAUAUAAAAUUUGAAAAGCAAAAUUCUAUUUAUCAGCUGUUCUGCGGCAAUAUUUGAGUUUUUUAUACACAUUAGUUUGUAGUUAAACAAUUUUAAUAAUUAAAAACAAAAACAAAAAAAAAACAAUUUUAAAUUAGUUUUGUAAUCAGUAGUGUUAAGGCGCUAACCAGACUAUGCGAAUUCUACAAAAAAAAAAAAAACAAAAAAAAAGAAAAAAGAAAUAGCAUAAAAGUACUAAAACAAAAUACCGUUACAUAUAAUAAAUUCGAUAAAUAUAAACUCAAAUAGCAAUAAUAUUAAUAACUAUACAAUUAAUAAGAAAAAAAAUUAAUAAAAAUUUAAACAAAAAAAAUCAACAAAAAAAUAUUUCACAUGAAUUAGAAGUUUGUGUGAAAUAAGUGUUUUUUUUUAAUAUAAAAUAAUUAAUAUAAUUUUAUUUUAUUUAGCGGUUUCCAACUGCAAUGUUUCAAGAAGUCAACGUCGCAAGAGAUUUGUUGGAGAAAAAAUGAGAGAUUAAAAGAAAGUUGUUUAAAUCACUGUAAUGCCGUUAUUUUGAACAAAAUGAAAGCCAGUUUGUAAAUGAAAGCCUCUAAGCACUUUACUACAAUCAAAUUCCUUAACAAAGUAUUUUUGUACAAACAAAACACUUCUCGGAAAAAAGCUUCCAUAUAAGGAUCAAGAUUAGUCAACAAUCAAAACAUCCAGAACGCAAACUGCCAUUAAAACCUUAAUAAACACGACUUAUGAAAAAGCUUUGACAAAAAGUGGAGCUAUUGCUGUAAAAGAACCGCUAAACGUGCCGAGAUCAUCAGAAGUAUCUCACUGAGAGACUUGAAUAUCUACUUCUCAAAUGAGUACCAUUCUCAACGGAAUAGUCUAGACAAUUUUUGAAGCUUAAAGCUUAAAAGAAUGGACUUACGAAAAACUUUCACUGACAAAGAACCGUUAAACUCUCUCAAAACCAGCUCAGUGAGAGACUUGAAUAUCUACUUCUCGAAUUCUCAACGAAAUGGUCUUGAAAACUAGCAUUAUUUCAUCUUUGAAGCUUAAAGCUUUCUUGAGUCAAAUUCAAAAACUCAGCUCCAAUGGAAACUGGUACAUAAAGCAUAAAAGACUGGAUUUACAAAAAGCAUCGAAAGAUUUCACUGAAAAAUAACGGCUAAACUUUGCCGAGAACAUCCGAACCAGCUCACUGAGAGACUAGAAUCAGCGAAAUAGUCUUGAAAACUAAAAUGACUUCAUCUUUGGAGCUUAAAGCUUACCUGAGUCAAAUUCAAUAACUCAGCGCCAACUUGGAUUGUUCUAAACUUUCCUCAGACACCAAAAGUUAUAAAAUUUUUUUUCCAAGCGAAUAACCUCAUUUAGCACACUCUUAAGACGCCGUUUUUGUUUUCUAACUCAUGAAGAUUUCGAUAUUUCAAUUAAUUUGGCUUUCUGUCGAUUUUUAUAUGUAUUUCAAAAAGUGGUCCUCACGGCACAGCAGCCACUUCUACAAGUUCACUUCAUCAAAUCACCAAAAGAAAUCAUCAAUCAAUCACUUCAUUAAAUUUAAGAAAAUAAGCCACAAAGACGGUACGUUCAAGAGGAAUGGUGUUGAAAACGCAGGGGAAAUUUACCUUAAAGAGCGCAUGAAAAAUAUCCCAUCCUUGCUGCAUAUGUAUGAAAGUGUGUGAGUGAAAGAGACAAACAGUGUGACAGCAGCGAUUGGGUUGAGAAAAAGAAUACUCUCCCUGAAAAGUGAUGUGAGGAGAAGCGGUGAGCUGACACCUGCUUGGCGCUCACUUACUGGGGUUGCUCGUGAAACCGCAAAAUAAGAUGUGAUGCGUCGAAUGGAGCGCCACUCACAAAGUUGAGCUGUUUUCUUGUCCAAACGAAGCUGCCAAAAAUCGUAUAGAAUUAUUACAAUAGACAUUUCCUUGAAGCAUACGCAUAAAGUUUAAUGUAACACAUUUUUAAACACGGUUUAAAUAAAUCAAACCGUCUGGCUGCGCUCUAUUGGCACUACCACUUGGCAGCACUGCACUUUGAAAUGUAAACAAAAAAGUCUAACUGUUGCAUACCGUUAAGUGAAAAAUUGAAUUGCAUUUUAAAAAUUCAUCGAUUUCAGCGCAUGGAAGCCUCAAAAUUCAAUCAAAUCAUGCUUCAAAAUCCAAAGAGUGUUUUCAACUUUUCAAUCAAAAUAAUGCCAUUCAACACAUUUUGGCCUCAGCAGACUUCCUGUCCCCAGUGCCACUCCAGCACACACACACACACACACACAUGCACAUACAUACGCGGCAAAGCCAGCAACCGUCGCACAAUGCAAAAUGGAUCGAGUAUGGGCAAUAAAAUGUCAACUGGCAUUUAAAAGAGACUUAACUAUUUAAAUAAUCAAAUAGCCAUGUUUACUCACCCAAGCAACGGAAUGGUUUGAUCCAACGAUGUGCCCCUUUGCAUUUGGCCGAAUUCAAAGCGCCCUGACGACACCAGCCGCCGAUUUUCUGAUAAUGCGAAGAUUCAACAAUAUUGGUGAUGUCACGAUUCGGAUAAGCCUGCAAGAAACGGAGUAGAGGCAAACAAAAUAAAAGUUGUGCGCUCCCCAGACAAGUAAAAAUGUUAUAUAUAAAAAAAACAACACAUGGCGACCCUAUCCAGUAGCUGGCAGUUAAAAUUUGCAGAGGAGACUGUUGGAAUUUUGUAUACCAUUGACCCAUUUUGGAUAAUAUGGUUGAACGCACACAUCCACAGACACAUGGAAGAAGCAGCGAAGUGGCCUUCACAAACUUCCACAUACACUUGAGGCUACACCUCCCUCACCCACCCCAAGCGACUGAAGGACAAAAGGACGUUUGCAGAGUUUCACCCAGAAAGCGAUAUUAAAUUGCCAGAGGCGCGAAUAUUGUGAUGCUACAACAACAAAAAAUGUCUGCCAUUUCACCUUUAAAAAGAAAAAAAGAGGCGCGUACGCCACAGAGGGAAGGGUGAUGUGCCACUUUAAAGCACCCACCGUUUGUCUUCAAUUUGAAAAUUCUCCGAAUUUGUAUUUUAUUUUAUUUGAAAUUUGUUGUUAUUGUUUUUUUUUUCAAAUAUAUUUAUUUACACCUUUUCAUUGCAGUUUGCAACUGGCGCCCCCAUUCGCUGGACUCACCCAUUUAUUUCUUAUUAACCAUUCACACCCCGAAAAUCAAUUGGAAAUUUGCUUCUUGCACCCAAAUGAAAUGGAGAGUUCUAAAUGCAGAAAGUAGAGCAAGAAUGUCUGCUGAGGUGGGCUGUUGACAGUUUUACGACAACUUCUCAUUUUGGGCGCUACGGAAGUGGUGUGUUGUUGCUGCCAAAUGAGAGUGACUUUCUUCCUGCCGCAGCCAUUUUGCUUCAGCUGCGCUUUAUUGAGCUUUUCUGUGCUGCCCCCCUUAACGCUCUCAGCGCCCGCUUUGGCUCAUUGCCGAUAUUGCGAUGUUUGUUGUUUUUGUUGUUAUUGUUGCAGGUGGACACCGAAUUUGGGUCACUUGUGCGCCUUCGAAGUGUGUCGAGCACAAAUAAGGUGGCAGUUAGUGGCUGUGUGUGUGUGUCCGUGCGCUGGUUAAACAAAAUUUACUGUUUGUCUCAACGGGAGUGGCGUCGCAAUUAUUUCCGCAAUUUUAUGAUGCUCCAUUUGAACAAAUUGAAAAUCAAUUACGUUUGAGGGAGUCACUAAAUGAGCAAUUGACAAGCCGAAAGCAAAUAACAACAAAUAUACAAUGUAAACUCACGCCAAAUAAUGUUUAAAAUGCAAAAAAUUCACAUAAAAACUGAAAAUAAUAAAAAUGAAAAUUUUAAUAAAAAAAGUUGUUU